AAAACGAAAAACACAUCCAUAAGCAAUUAUAUAUAAGAUCUCUAAAGAGUUUAAGUUAAUUGUGUCCAUUACUUGUUUCUAAAUAUUUCCAAGUUCAAAAGCAAAAAACCAUGGACAAAAAUCAGAAAUUGAGCUACGAUAUUGGCGUAGCUAAGGGCCAAGCCCAGGAAAAAGGUAGUCAAUUGAUGGAGAAGGCUGGGACUGCUGUGCAGUCUGCCAAGGAAACAGUGCAAGAGGUGGGGCAGCAAGUGAAGACCAAAACACUAGUAGCAGCAGAUGCCGUUACAACGCCACCGGCAUGAACAAAUAAACCACGUUAAUUUCUACCAUAUUAUCGUUUAUGAAGAUCUUAGUUUCUUCUAAUUCAAUUGGGUUACCAAUUUAUGUUGCUUAAGUUUGAAUUAUUGGUGAGAACUUCUGCGUUUCUGAAUAAUAUUUUAGAAGCAGCGUCUCUAAUAAUGUUCUGUUCUUAAUUAUAAUUGCAUAUAUAGCGGCACAUGCAGUAGCUAUAUGAUCCAAAUUCACUUGGAUGUACUAGCUUUGCUGUUCUUAUACUUUCGUGUUCUU
This is a long non-coding RNA of Nicotiana attenuata, 567 nucleotides long. RefSeq lists it as uncharacterized. The transcript has 3 exons. The record is from RefSeq and is a predicted model, not a curated record. Lineage: Eukaryota; Viridiplantae; Streptophyta; Magnoliopsida; Solanales; Solanaceae.